This 800-nucleotide ribosomal RNA is filed under the name uncultured bacterium. Its description in RNAcentral is "bacterial SSU rRNA". It matches the Rfam family "Bacterial small subunit ribosomal RNA", at positions 8 to 796 of the family's 1533-position model. The record is from RNAcentral.
AGAGUUUGAUCAUGGCUCAGGAUGAACGCUAGCGGCAGGCUUAAUACAUGCAAGUCGUGGGGCAGCAGGGUGGCCGCAAGGCCAUCGCUGGCGACCGGCAAACGGGUGCGGAACACGUACGCAACUUACCCUUAAGAGGGGGAUAGCCCGGGGAAACCCGGAUUAAUACCCCGUAACCCAGUGAAGUGCAUCACUUCACUGGGAGAGCCCUUCGGGGCGCUUAAGGAUGGGCGUGCGGCUGAUUAGGUAGUUGGCAGGGUAAGGGCCUACCAAGCCUACGAUCAGUAACUGGUGUGAGAGCACGACCAGUCACACGGGCACUGAGACACGGGCCCGACUCCUACGGGAGGCAGCAGUAAGGAAUAUUGGUCAAUGGAGGCAACUCUGAACCAGCCAUGCCGCGUGGAGGAUGAAGGCCCUCUGGGUUGUAAACUUCUUUUAUCUGGGAAGAAACCCCUUUUUUCCAAGAGGGUUGACGGUACCAGAGGAAUCAGCACCGGCUAACUCCGUGCCAGCAGCCGCGGUAAUACGGAGGGUGCAAGCGUUAUCCGGAUUCACUGGGUUUAAAGGGUGCGUAGGCGGGCAGGGAAGUCCGUGGUGAAAGCCCUAAGCUUAACUUAGGAAGGGCCACAGAUACUCUCUGUCUUGAAUACUGGGGAGGUGAGCGGAAUAUGUCAUGUAGCGGUGAAAUGCUUAGAGAUGACAUAGAACACCAAUUGCGAAGGCAGCUCACUACGCAGCUAUUGACGCUGAGGCACGAAAGCGUGGGGAUCAAACAGGAUUAGAUACCCUAGUAGUCC